Molecule: ribosomal RNA, 259 nt
Filed under: uncultured bacterium
Lineage: Bacteria
Description: partial 16S ribosomal RNA
Rfam family: Bacterial small subunit ribosomal RNA
Source: RNAcentral
GUGGAUACAGAGGGCGGCCGCUGCAACAUCGGUCCAAUCCUUAAAGUUCAUCCUCAGUUCGGACUGGGGUCUGCAACCCGACCCCACGAAGCUGGAUUCGCUAGUAAUCGCGCAUCAGCCAUGGCGCGGUGAAUACGUUCCCGGGCCUUGUACACACCGCCCGUCAAGCCAUGAAAGCCGGGGGGCGCCUGAAGUCCGUGACCGCGAGGGUCGGCCUAGGGUGAAACCGGUGAUUGGGGCUAAGUCGUAACAAGGUAUC